AGGAUGAACGCUAGCGGCAGGCCUAAUACAUGCAAGUCGAACGAGAUUGAAGAGCUUGCUUUUUCAUGAAAGUGGCGCACGGGUGCGUAACGCGUAUGCAACCUACCUUAAUCAGGGGGGAUAGCCUCUCGAAAGAGAGAUUAACACCGCAUAAAAUCACAAGCUGGCAUCAGCAAAUGAUCAAAUAUUUAUAGGAUUAAGAUGGGCAUGCGUGACAUUAGUUAGUUGGUGAGGUAAUGGCUCACCAAGACGAUGAUGUCGUAGGGGAUCUGAGAGGAUCGACCCCCACACUGGUACUGAGACACGGACCAGACU
RNAcentral lists this ribosomal RNA (315 nucleotides) under uncultured soil bacterium. RNAcentral's name for it is "bacterial SSU rRNA". It matches the Rfam family "Bacterial small subunit ribosomal RNA", at positions 26 to 337 of the family's 1533-position model. The record is from RNAcentral.